UACGUAGGGUGCAAGCGUUAUCCGGAAUUAUUGGGCGUAAAGAGCUCGUAGGCGGUUUGUCGCGUCUGCUGUGAAAACUGGAGGCUCAACCUCCAGCCUGCAGUGGGUACGGGCAGACUAGAGUGCGGUAGGGGAGAUUGGAAUUCCUGGUGUAAGCGGUGGAAUGCGCAGAUAUCAGGAGGAACACCGAUGGCGAAGGCAGAUCUCUGGGCCGUAACUGACGCUGAGGAGCGAAAGCAUGGGGAGCGAACAGG
This 254-nucleotide ribosomal RNA is filed under the name uncultured bacterium. RNAcentral's name for it is "partial 16S ribosomal RNA". It matches the Rfam family "Bacterial small subunit ribosomal RNA", at positions 524 to 776 of the family's 1533-position model. The record is from RNAcentral.